This 440-nucleotide ribosomal RNA is filed under the name uncultured bacterium. RNAcentral's name for it is "partial 16S ribosomal RNA". It matches the Rfam family "Bacterial small subunit ribosomal RNA", at positions 338 to 795 of the family's 1533-position model. The record is from RNAcentral.
CCUACGGGUGGCAGCAGUGGGGAAUAUUGCACAAUGGGGGAAACCCUGAUGCAGCGACGCCGCGUGAGUGAAGAGGUAUUUCGGUAUGUAAAGCUCUAUCAGCAGGGAAGAGAAUGACGGUACCGGAGGAAGAAGCCCCGGCUAACUACGUGCCAGCAGCCGCGGUAAGACGUAGGGGGCAAGCGUUAUCCGGAGUUACGGGGUGGAAAGGGAGCGUAGACGGCCUGGCAAGUCUGAAGGGAAAGCCCCGGGCUCAACCGCGGGACUGCUUUGGAAACUGUUAAGCUGGAGUGCAGGAGAGGUAAGUGGACUUCCUAGUGUAGCGGUGAAAUGCGUAGAUAUUAGGAGGAACACCAGUGGCGAAGGCGGCUUACUGGACUGUACCUGACGUUGAGGCUCGAAAGCGUGGGGAGCAAACAGGAUUAGAUACCCUUGUAGUC